Molecule: ribosomal RNA, 594 nt
Filed under: uncultured bacterium
Lineage: Bacteria
Description: bacterial SSU rRNA
Rfam family: Bacterial small subunit ribosomal RNA
Source: RNAcentral
UGUUGGUAGGGUAACGGCCUACCAAGGCUACGAUCAGUAGGGGUUCUGAGAGGAUUAACCCCCACACUGGUACUGAGACACGGACCAGACUCCUACGGGAGGCAGCAGUGAGGAAUAUUGGUCAAUGGGCGGAAGCCUGAACCAGCCAUCCCGCGUGAAGGAAGACAGCCUUACGGGUUGUAAACUUCUUUUCUGUCAGAAGAAUAAGCUUGUCGAGACGAGUGAUGCCGGUAUGACAGGAAUAAGCAUCGGCUAACUCCGUGCCAGCAGCCGCGGUAAUACGGAGGAUGCAAGCGUUAUCCGGAUUUAUUGGGUUUAAAGGGUGCGCAGGUUGUUUGAUAAGUCAGUGGUGAAAGUCUGUCGCUUAACGGUAGGAUUGCCAUUGAUACUGUUGGACUUGAAUAUGGAUGAGGUAGGCGGAAUGUGUAGUGUAGCGGUGAAAUGCAUAGAUAUUACACAGAACACCGAUUGCGAAGGCAGCUUACUAAUCCAUCAUUGACGCUGAGGCACGAAAGCGUGGGGAUCAAACAGGAUUAGAUACCCUGGUAGUCCACGCCGUAAACGAUGAUCACUCGCUGUUUGCGAUAUACAGUA